Molecule: long non-coding RNA, 457 nt
Filed under: Mus spretus (western wild mouse)
Lineage: Eukaryota; Metazoa; Chordata; Mammalia; Rodentia; Muridae
Description: lncRNA (ENSMSPG00010032440.1)
Source: RNAcentral
UCUCUUUGGAACCCCGACUCCUGUCGCUGGCCUGUGAUUUGGCUGUGCAGCCAGUGUCUCCAUGUAUUUCCGCAUCUUCUCAACCAUCCAGGAUGGCAGAACAAAGGAUUUCAGCUCCUCCAACUUCAGGUCCAAGCAUCCUCUGAAGGAGACAUGGGAUGGACAUUAAAGGGAGGGUGACGGUCUCGUCCAUGUGCCUAGUGAGGCAGAAGGCAGGAUGGGGAAAGGGGCCUUCGUUGUACCUGUAGUCAUCACUGGCAGCCAAGUCCCGGAUGUCUUCUUCAAUGAGAAGGGGCCCAGAGUCUCGGCCACUGUCAAUGUUCACACAAGCAUACCUUGGGGCCUUCUCGGCGAAUUGGUUCACAGGAUUUUUGUUUCCAUCUGCUCAGAAGGAAAAAAGACAGCAGCUGCCCUGAGCUCAACCCGGAUGUAAGUGGCUUCCUGAUGUCCCCCAAGU